UAAAGUGUUUAAAAACAUAGGUAAAUACUUUAAAACCCCUUUUUAAACCUUCGUAAAUCAUUUCAAAACUUUUUACAAUAGUUUUACAAGAUUUACAAUUGUUUUUUAAGCAUAAGUAAGUGACAUUGAAUGAUUUACAAGGGAUUUUAAAAGCUUAUAAAAGGGUAAAACAUGAUUCACAAUCGUUUUUAAAGCAUAAGUAAGUGGCAUAGAAUGAUUUACAAGGGAUUUAAAAAGGGUUAGCAUGGUUUACAAUCGUUUUUUAAGCAUAAGUAAGUGGCAAUGAAUGAUUUACAAGGGAUUUUAAAAGCUUAUAAAAGGGUAAAACAUGAUUUACAAUCGUUUUUAAAGCAUAAGGAAGUGGCAUAUAAUGAUUUACAAGGUUUUUUAAAAAGAGUUAGCCUGGUUUACAAUGUUUUUUUAAGCAUAAGUAAGUAGCAUUGGAAUGAUUUACAAGGGAUUUUAAAAGCUUAUAAAAGGGUAAAACAUGAUUUACAAUCGUUUUUAAAGCAUAAGUAAGUGACAUAGAAUGAUUUACAAGGGAUUUUAAAAGUGUUUGUAUUGUUUACAAUCGUUUUAAAGCAUAAGUAAGUGACAUUGAAUGAUUUACAAGGGAUUUUAAAAGGGGUUAACAUGAUUUACAAUUGUUUUUAAAGCAUAAGUAAGUGUCAAAGAAUGAUUUACAAUGGAUUUUAAACAUUUGUAAAUCAUUUUAAAACUCUUAUAAAGUCUUUACAAGCAUUUUUUAACUCUUAGAAAAAGAAUUGUAAGUAUUUAAAACAUUUAUAACUCUUUUUGAACCAUUUUAAAUCUCUUGUGAACCUUUACAAAAGGUUUUAAAAACAUUUACAAGAGUUUUUAAAGGUUUUUCUUAUAAAUUCUUUUAAAAUAUUUUAAAAACUCUUGUACAUCUUUUAAAACCCUUUAAAAAUCCCUUGUAAAUCUUUUAAAACAUUUUUAAACCCUUUAAAAAUCUUUAAAAAACUCUUGUAAAUCUUUUAAAACCCUUUAAAAUCCCUUGUAAAUCUUUUAAACCCUUUUAAAAUCUCUUGUAAAUCUUUUAAAACCCUUUUAAAAUCUCUUGUAAAUCUAUUUCCCGCCAAAAAGAAAUUUUUUACAGGAAAAAUGGUUUCGUAAAUAAAAUUUGGCGGGAAAUUUUUUCGGCGGGAAAAAUAUUUUAAA
This 1182-nucleotide small RNA is filed under the name Arabidopsis thaliana (thale cress). RNAcentral's name for it is "ATSL158730". The record is from RNAcentral. Lineage: Eukaryota; Viridiplantae; Streptophyta; Magnoliopsida; Brassicales; Brassicaceae.